Molecule: long non-coding RNA, 745 nt
Filed under: Glycine max (soybean)
Lineage: Eukaryota; Viridiplantae; Streptophyta; Magnoliopsida; Fabales; Fabaceae
Description: long non-coding RNA (GMAX_LNC004389)
Source: RNAcentral
UCCAGCCUAAAAUUUUCAAAUUAAAGUUUAAAAAUCUCUCUCACUCGAGCUCUUAUUUUCCCGCAAAAUUGAUAUAUAAGCAUAUGACCUUUAAUCGAAGCCUCCUUUUUCAUUUUCUUUGGAUUUUUAGUCCAUGACCUUUCUUUCUCCGACGAAGACAGCUUCUCCUUUCAUUCCUCUUUCACCAUCUCCUUUUGUACACCCUUCGUCAAAUCUUUGUUUUAUUUUUCUCAGAUUUGAUGAGUUUUGCUGUGAAAUCUGGAAGCCAUUUUAUGGCGACAGUUGUAGCAACGAAGAUGAUGCUGUGGUGCGAGAUCUGUGAGUGUGUCUUUCUCGAUCAAUCUUGACCUCCAUGAGCGCGUGAAGCGCAUCAGUGUCAUCGUGAAGGACCAAUCUUGCGAAUUUGGUUCUAGGGAGUGGGGAUUUUUUUAGAACUGGGAUCUAUAAAACCACUUCAGAUUUCAAAACCUAGAUCUACAAAAUUGCUUCAGAUCUUCAAAACUACUUCAUGUUGUGCCUCAAAAAUUGGUUAAACAUGUAUUAUCAUGUUGUGUUGUUUAAACUUUUGAUUAUUUUUUUAUUCCAGUAGGUAACCUUCAAUUAAUCAAUUACCGGUUAUUUUUUGGUGCCUCGUUACUUGUCCACCUUUAGCAAACUUCACCGUAGCUUCGUCACUUUUUUUGUUGAAUAUAAAAUAAAAUCUUCGUAUUAAUUUUUCUAUGUACUAGCUAUCAUUGGCAACAGC